UGCGUAGGCGGCUUGGCAAGUUGGGUGUGAAAUCCCUCGGCUCAACCGAGGAAUUGCGCCCAAUACUGCCAGGCUUGAGGGAGAUAGAGGUGAGCGGAACUAAUGGUGGAGCGGUGAAAUGCGUUGAUAUCAUUAGGAACACCUGAGGCGAAAGCAGCUCACUGGGUCUCUUCUGACGCUGAGGCACGAAAGCUAGGGGAGCGAACG
This 207-nucleotide ribosomal RNA is filed under the name uncultured bacterium. Its description in RNAcentral is "partial 16S ribosomal RNA". It matches the Rfam family "Bacterial small subunit ribosomal RNA", at positions 568 to 774 of the family's 1533-position model. The record is from RNAcentral.